UUGGAGAGUUUGAUCCUGGCUCAGAACGAACGCUGGCGGCGUGCCUAACACAUGCAAGUCGAACGCGAAAGUCCUUCGGGAUGAGUAAAGUGGCGCACGGGUGAGUAACACGUAGGUGACCUG
This 123-nucleotide ribosomal RNA is filed under the name Bacteriovorax sp. RNAcentral's name for it is "partial 16S ribosomal RNA". It matches the Rfam family "Bacterial small subunit ribosomal RNA", at positions 1 to 128 of the family's 1533-position model. Lineage: Bacteria; Pseudomonadati; Bdellovibrionota; Bacteriovoracia; Bacteriovoracales; Bacteriovoracaceae. The record is from RNAcentral.